GUCAAUACUCCUUUAUUGCCAGAAUUCUGAGAGCAGCACCUUUUCUCUUGCAUUGUCUUUCUCCCAUCUCAUGUCAUUCUGUUGGGAAUGCUAAUCACAGUCACACAUCCUCUGCACCUCCAAGCAUCAGUGUGACCAUGUGAGCACAACCCCACCUCUGGAAUCAGACAAGCAUUUCACAGGACUAAAGUGAGGAUAAUCAAGUCACAUGCUCAGAACUGGCCAGAGUUUUUCAGUUUCAAGUGACAAAAUCUCCAACCCCCAAAAUAGAACACAUAGGCCUAUGUAAACUGAAAACCAAGAGUAGAUUUACUUCCAAAAGAGUCAAAUCAAGGACUUUGAGGAUGUGGUCAGGUAUGGGUCUCUCUCCAUGGACUCCUUGUCCUUUCCUUCACCCCCAUAUCCAGGUCUCUGCAUUUGUCCGCGUUCUUCACUGUCAUGUGGCUCCUCCCGAUGUGAUAGCAAAGAUGCCCGUGGACAAACCAGGCUUGGGUCCAUCAUGUUGGCAAUCUGGAGGAAGCCGAGCACUUUUUCUCCAACUGACUCAGUCCCAGGACUGGCUCUCAUUUGCCCAGCUUGUGCAGAAUCUCAUUGUCCUAAUGUUAAAUAUAUAUCAUCAGUGCUCAAUGUUACAGCUUCAAACAUAGAAGAUACAAGAAGUAAAUGCUGAGAUUUCGCUAUUUGUUAACCUAUCAUGUGAUGAACCUAUACAAAUUGUGUAAAGCAAAUGUUUUCAGGCAUUGGAUGUCAAGCAGCACAGGACUAUCAACCUGAAGGAAAGAGAAUCACACAAGAUGAGCCUCAUAUUUAUCCUGGCUUUCCGCUUCGGAGCACUCUCUCAACUUCAACACAGAGAAGUGAAACCCAAGUGAAAGAGUAUUGCUAAACCAAGGAGGCAGACCUCAUGUUUGUUCAAGAGUACCCAAGAGAUAGGAUCUGUAAGAGGCACACAGGACCACAUUUGUUCUACCACGCUAUGCUGAAUAUGAGGCAAAAGUUAACACCUGGAAAUUUUGCUAUCCUGAAAUGAGGCAGUGCAUUGUGGAGAAAAAAAGAAUGGACUCUUCUAUUAAAUGAACGAUAAGAAAGAAGACUGCAAGUUGAGAAAUCACAUCUCCAAGACUCAAAGGGUCCUGUCAUGUGGAAAUGCAGAUCUGCUCUCCCAGCAAGCCUGGUUGGGCAUCCUCAAUCUUCUGCUUCCAAGCUGUGUGACCUCGGGUAAGUCACUUGGCAUCUCUGAGCCUCAGUCCCCAAUUGUGUGAUGGGAACAUAACAGUGCCUAAGUGAGGGAGUGAGUCUGGGGACUGAAG
This 1310-nucleotide long non-coding RNA is filed under the name Homo sapiens (human). Its description in RNAcentral is "HSALNT0144511". Lineage: Eukaryota; Metazoa; Chordata; Mammalia; Primates; Hominidae. The record is from RNAcentral.